UAUCCUUCAUCUUUAUGCUGCUCCACUCCAGCUCACAGCCCCUCCAACUGGAUGGAGCUCUUCGAAGGGAGGGGCAUUUCAGAGGAGGGUCUCAGGGAUAGCCCCUUUGUGGGGCUGGGCCACCAGGUUGGGGAGAGUGGAGCUGCUGGAACUCUGGAGGGACUGGCUGAGCCAGCUUUCCCAGUGCACCCCUCUGGGAGGGCAGGCUCUCGGUGUAGGCUGCCCAUCUCCUCGCUCUCCUCUGGCACUGCUCCUAUGCCCCCUUGGUUAGCCUGGGAGCCCAUACUACCCAGACUUGGGGUCAAUAAGCAGAGGACCUGUAAGGAGUCCUUGAUGGGAUGUACAGCACUGCCCAACCCUGCACAAGGUAGGGUAUUGCUGUUUGUUGUGUGGUGAGCUGCCUGCUUAUGGCUGGGUUUGGGCCUCCAUCCAUUUUUAUUUUCUUUGAGUUGGUCUCUGGGCAAAGCUUCUCCCAGCAGGCGGAAUCUGGCCUGGGGGCUCCAGCUUCUCUCACCUGCCUGGCCUCCCAAGAGCUAGAGAGCUCCACAUCUCAACUCAUCUAUAACUCAUUAGCAGAACCAUCAGCUAGCAGAAACUAGGAAUAAUAAAAAUGUGCCGUAUUUUCACAAGCUGGAUGCCAGGCUUGGUGGUCAGGACACAGACUGCUUUCAGCUCCCACAUGCCCCUCCUGCUAGCUGCUUUGUGCAGAGUAGUGGCUACAUGGCUGCAGGUGAGAGCCCUGCCUGUGAACAGGCCACCAGGAUGCUGGGACAUACGAGUUGGUAACCCAUGGGCUCCUGAGAGCAGAGAUUGUGACUUACUCAUCUUUGAUGUAGCCAAGUUCUAACAAACCUAAAUGUGCAGGCAUUUGUAAGAGAGGAUCAUGGAAUGAAUACGGGCAUUGAGUCAAGCAGUCUGUGUUCCACUGGCGGUGUGACCUGGGGCAGGCCAUUUCACCUCACUGAGCCUUAGUUUCCUCACCUGUAAAAUGUGAAAAAUAUCACCUUCCUUACCAGGCUUUUCUGAGGAUUUAAUGACAUCAUGUUCAGUGCCCAGUAUGGGUGGAUAAUACCCAGGAGUUUCCUCCUCUUCUCCUCCUAAGUUGACUUGAUGCCCCCCGCUGAAGAUCAUGGCUGAACUGGCUCAAUUCGGAUCCAGGACUCCUGGCUUUGUCUCUUCCCUAGUUGCCCACCACACCCAUGGACACCCUUAGGUAGUUUAUCCUUUUGGGACAACUGGAUUUAUUAGAAAAGGGUAUUCUGGGGUGGAAUAAGGCCCUUUUCAGUCCCCAUGGAGCCUUUUUGGAAGAUGAAGUUCUCAAACCCACAAGAGAAUUCAUAAGACGAGCACACCACCCACAGUUAGGUUUCCCUCUCAAGUGCUUUAUCUCCACGUGGGGCAAAUAGCUCUUUGUCUGCAUAUGUUAUUGGAGCUUUUGGAGUCCAGCCUUCAGAAGAGCUCUAAUUUUUGGAUUCAUAUCAGUUUAUUAGAGAAGCCUAGUUCUAAGGAUUAGCAAAUGGGUAGGUGCUCAGCCAGCCCAGAACAAGCAGAGCCAUGACAGAAGUUUCUGGAAUCUCACAGAGUCGGUGUCUUCAUGGACUCAGGGGGCCUAAAUCCAAUAGCCUGGAUUUGUCACUUUCCCUUAUUCCCUUAUCAAACUCUUCCCUUUUGGACAUCAGAGAAGGAAAGUACUUCCUGUAAGGGGGCAAUUUGCAAAGCUUCAUGGAAGUGGCAUUUGAGUGUGGCCUUAAAGGAUGUGUAGGAUUGGGAACCAUAGAUAUUUAGAGGAAGGCAUUCCUGGCAGAAGGAACAGCAGCAAAACACAGAAGUGGAAAUUAGUAGCAGCAUUAAUGGAGAAUAAUUUGGGGAAUAAGAUAUACAAAUGGAAUAAUAAAAAUAGCAUUAAUUAAACAUUGUGGGAGUCAUUCUGUAAGAUGGCCCCUGGUGA
This 1948-nucleotide long non-coding RNA is filed under the name Homo sapiens (human). RNAcentral's name for it is "HSALNT0141166". The record is from RNAcentral. Lineage: Eukaryota; Metazoa; Chordata; Mammalia; Primates; Hominidae.